GUGUGGAGACAAUAAUAUUCUAUCUCACUCCCUUGGAAACUUGGAAUAUGUAAAAUAAAAUGGCUUUCCAUAAAAUGUGUGUCUACACAACUGAAAUGAAAGCUAUGCCAGCCCUCUGCCGUCCAAGCCAGCCACACUGUUCCAGUUACCGUAAAUAGUUGCGUCUGCUUCCUCCGUUUUAAUGAGGGCUUUCUUACCUAUCGACACACAGAUGGAGAGCCGACAGCAUCCUAAAAGCCCGCCACUAUGCCAAAGCCAAUAUAACGGGGAUUGUAUGCAAGCUGCCCCUUCGGGGAAGAUGAACCCAGACAAGCAAUUUGAGGACUCUACGUUGCCCCACUUCCCCUCACCUUCCCAAGAAAAGAUCAAUAAAGUAUCAUUUGGCACUGGCUAAUUCUUUCAACCCAUCAGGUUGAAACUGGCCUGUCCUUUUAUAAAUGAGCUGCUCCCUUGACCGUAUUGUGAGAAACAGAGGGAGGCUUGAGUCAAUGGGAAUUUAGUGAAAUCCUGCAGACGCA
Molecule: long non-coding RNA, 518 nt
Organism: Bos taurus (domestic cattle)
Lineage: Eukaryota; Metazoa; Chordata; Mammalia; Artiodactyla; Bovidae
Source: Ensembl